Molecule: non-coding RNA, 88 nt
Organism: Danio rerio (zebrafish)
Lineage: Eukaryota; Metazoa; Chordata; Actinopteri; Cypriniformes; Danionidae
Source: Rfam
CUGUGACCUGUGGGUUUCCCUUUGUCAUCCUAUGCCUAGAGUUUGUGAUAAGGCAGGGACAGCAAAGGGAGGCUCAGCCGUCACCACU